GAUGAAGAACGUAGCGAAAUGCGAUAAGUAAUGCGAAUUGCAGAAUUCAGUGAAUCAUCGAAUCUUUGAACGCAUAUUGCGCUCUCUGGUAUUCCGGAGAGCAUGCUUGUUUGAGUAUCAGUAAACACCUCAACUUCCAUAUCUUUUUUGAAAUGGGAGCUGGACUUGAGUGAUCCCAACGCUUUUCCUCACCGAAAAGUGGCGGGUUACUUGAAAUGCAGGUGCAGCUGGACUUUUCUCUGAGCUAUAAGCAUAUCUAUUUAGUCUGCCUCAAAAACAGAUUAUUACCUUUGCUGCAGCUAACAUAAAGGAGAUUAGUUCUUGUGCUGACUGAUGCAGGAUUCACAAAGACAGCUUCGGCCGACUUUGUAAACUCGAUCUCAAAUCAAGUAAGACUACCCGCUGAACUUAAGCAUAUCAAUAAGCGGAGGA
This 432-nucleotide unclassified non-coding RNA is filed under the name soil metagenome. RNAcentral describes it as "partial contains 5.8S ribosomal RNA, internal transcribed spacer 2, and large subunit ribosomal RNA". The stretch from base 1 to 120 matches the Rfam family "5.8S ribosomal RNA", at positions 35 to 154 of the family's 154-position model. The record is from RNAcentral.